RNAcentral lists this unclassified non-coding RNA (417 nucleotides) under uncultured fungus. RNAcentral's name for it is "sequence contains ITS2". The stretch from base 1 to 153 matches the Rfam family "5.8S ribosomal RNA". Lineage: Eukaryota; Fungi. The record is from RNAcentral.
AACUUUCAGCAAUGGAUCACUUGGUUCUCGCAUCGAUGAAGAACGCAGCGAAAUGCGAUACGUAAUGUGAAUUGCAGAUUCAGUGAAUCAUCGAAUCUUUGAACGCAUAUUGCACUCUUUGGUAUUCCGAAGAGUAUGCCUGUUUCAGUAUCAUGAAAACCCUCACAAAUUCAAUUUUGGCUUUGUGGACUUGAGCAUUUUGCGGCUUUGUUGCUGCUGGCUUAAAAUAUAUUUCUUGGAUAGCAUAAUUAUGGCUUUCGAAACUCGGCUUAAUAGUUUUGGCUUUUGGUCAAAUCUUUAGCUCUUUUUCAAAAGUCUCAAAGUUAUUCAAAAGUUUUAUACGAACACUUUCUCAAUUUUGAUCUGAAAUCAGGUAGGAUUACCCGCUGAACUUAAGCAUAUCAAUAAGCGGAGGCU